CAGCAUUUCAUAGUUCGGGCCCAAUUUACAAUACAUCACAUUCUAAUAUGGGCUUACAGGAUUAAUUUGUCUAUGUUAAUACACAACUAAAUAUAUGUAAAUCUUACAACUGCGGAGUCACUAACUGUUUGGUAUACAUGGCUUUUUAUACACAUAAUUACAUAGUAAAAUAAUUAUGGAACUAGGAAAAUUUCUUUAUUGCCCUGCACCGAAGAAACAUAGCCUAAAUCAAAUUAAAGAAAAACUUACUUCCUGAAAA
RNAcentral lists this long non-coding RNA (259 nucleotides) under Jatropha curcas. RNAcentral describes it as "long non-coding RNA (JCUR_LNC002202)". The record is from RNAcentral. Lineage: Eukaryota; Viridiplantae; Streptophyta; Magnoliopsida; Malpighiales; Euphorbiaceae.